UGGCCAAACUACCCUUCGGAACACAAUACCCUCGGGAAACUGAGGCUAAUAGUGUAUACCACACUCACUCUGGAAUGACAAGUGUGUCAAACGCUCCGGCGCCGAAGGAUGUGGCUGCGGCCGAUUAGGUAGACGGUGGGGUAACGGCCCACCGUGCCGAUAUCGGUACGGGUGGUGAGAGCCAGAACCCGGAGACGGAAUCUGAGACAAGAUUCCGGGCCCUACGGGGCGCAGCAGGCGCGAAACCUUUACACUGCACGACAGUGCGAUAAGGGGAUCCCAAGUGCGCAGGCAUAGAGCCUGCGCUUUUGUACACCCUAGGGAGGUGCACGAAUAAGGGCUGGGCAAGACCGGUGCCAGCCGCCGCGGUAAUACCGGCAGCCCAAGUGAUGGCCGAUCUUAUUGGGCCUAAAGCGUCCGUAGCUGGCCGCGCAAGUCCAUCGGGAAAUCCACCUGCUCAACAGGUGGACGUCCGGUGGAAACUGYACGGCUUGGGACCGGAAGGCGCGACGGGUACGUCCGGGGUAGGAGUGAAAUCCCGUAAUCCUGGACGGACCGCCGAUGGCGAAAGCACGUCGCGAAAACGGAUCCGACAGUGAGGGACGAAAGCUAGGGUCUCGAACCGGAUUAGAUACCCGGGUAGUCCUAGCCGUAAACAAUGCCUGCUAGGUGUGGCUCCCACUACGAGUGGGUGCUGUGCCGUAGGGAAGCCGCUAAGCAGGCCGCCUGGGAAGUACGUCCGCAAGGAUGAAACUUAAAGGAAUUGGCGGGGGAGCACUACAACCGGAGGAGCCUGCGGUUUAAUUGGACUCAACGCCGGACAUCUCACCAGCAUCGACUGUGGUAAUGACGGUCAGGUUGAUGACCUCGCCACGAGCCACAGAGAGGAGGUGCAUGGCCGCCGUCAGCUCGUACCGUGAGGCGUCCUGUUAAGUCAGGCAACGAGCGAGACCCGCAUCUGUACUUGCCAGCAGCACUGCGAAGUGGCUGGGGACAGUAGGGAGACUGCCGUGGCCAACACGGAGGAAGGAACGGGCAACGGUAGGUCAGUAUGCCCCGAAUGUGCUGGGCAACACGCGGGCUACAAUGGUCGAGACAAAGGGUUCCUACUCCGAAAGGAGACGGUAAUCUCAGAAACUCGAUCGUAGUUCGGAUUGUGGGCUGCAACUCGCCCACAUGAAGCUGGAUUCGGUAGUAAUCGCGUGUCACAAGCGCGCGGUGAAUACGUCCCUGCUCCUUGCACACACCGCCCGUCAAAGCA
This 1261-nucleotide ribosomal RNA is filed under the name Halorubrum sp. RNAcentral's name for it is "bacterial SSU rRNA". It matches the Rfam family "Archaeal small subunit ribosomal RNA", at positions 101 to 1359 of the family's 1478-position model. The record is from RNAcentral. Lineage: Archaea; Methanobacteriati; Methanobacteriota; Halobacteria; Halobacteriales; Haloferacaceae.